This 586-nucleotide ribosomal RNA is filed under the name uncultured bacterium. Its description in RNAcentral is "partial 16S ribosomal RNA". It matches the Rfam family "Bacterial small subunit ribosomal RNA", at positions 355 to 1376 of the family's 1533-position model. The record is from RNAcentral.
UGGGGAAUUUUGGACAAUGGGCGCAAGCCUGAUCCAGCCAUGCCGCGUGCGGGAAGAAGGCCUUCGGGUUGUAAACCGCCUUUGUCAGGGAAGAAAUCUUCUGAGUUAAUACCUCGGGAGGAUGACGGUACCUGAAGAAUAAGCACCGGCUAACUACGUGCCAGCAGCCGCGGUAAUACGUAGGGUGCAAGCGUUAAUCGGAAUUACUGGGCGUAAAGCGUGCGCAGGCGGUUUUGUAAGACAGAGGUGAAAUCCCCGGGCUCAACCUGGGAACUGCCUUUGUGACUGCAAGGCUUGAGUGCGGCAGAGGGGGAUGGAAUUCCGCGUGUAGCAGUGAAAUGCGUAGAUAUGCGGAGGAACACCGAUGGCGAAGGCAGUCCCCUGGGCCUGCACUGACGCUCAUGCACGAAAGCGUGGGGAGCAAACAGGAUUAGAUACCCUGGUAGUCCACGCCCUAAACGAUGUCAACUGGUUGUUGGGAAGGUUCCUUCUCAGUAACGUAGCUAACGCGUGAAGUUGACCGCCUGGGGAGUACGGCCGCAAGGUUGAAACUCAAAUGAAUUGACGGGGUCAUAGCUGUUUCCUG